AUUUCUUUUGCAGGGCAUCCUUAACAACCAAUCAGAGAACAUUUUACACACCUAUAAAGGUAGGGAAAAGAAGCUAUUUCUGAUUAUAAAAUAUGUCUAAUUUGUUUUAACUGUUUCAAAACCAUCCCAUUGAUGCUGCUUAUUCUGACUGAGUGUAUAUUGUAUCUACUUACUUAAACUUGAAAUCAUCCAACACAGUUAUUGGUCAGUUUGAGUCUUUCAUGCAUACCACAAGUUGAUGUUUUAAUAUAGACAAAAUUUUCCUUUUCAUAUUUUUACAUUUUUACAUUACUUUCUUCACAAUUUUAUGAUAGCUUGGUGUAUUAUAUGUAAUUUAUAUUAUAUAGAGAUAGAUAGUUAAAAACUGAGGAUCUCUUGUUUACCAUAGUUUCAUUCUUUUUUUGCUAUUCUAAACCUAUAAUUUUUAAGGAAAUAACUCAAAUAACCAUACAUAUAAUUAACUGCCAAUAAUUUAACAACAUAAACGCUAAUUUGGAGGAAUUUUCUUCAGUAUUUGCUUUACUUAAAAGUGCAGAAAAUGUGGCCCUUUUCUUGGUAAGGGCGUAUGUGAAGAUAAAUUUAGAUUUUAUAGUCUAGUAAAUACUUCUCUGGUAAUAACUUAAUUGUAGCUAUUUCAAACCAAAUUGUUUAAUUGUGGUGAAUCAUAUGCAAAUUGUUCAGAUGUAGGUCAACUACCACUCCCACAUUCUAGCACCUCUUUUCUAAUUCAGGACAGAUUGCUCCAUGCCUGAUAGAGGAGAAUAGUACAGAUUAGAGACAUAUGACUAAAACAAACCAACAGCAUCACAAAAACUAAAGGUGGGGCAGGAGUCAGAAAGUCCCAGUAAAAAUGACAAGACAAGUGGCAUUUAUUUACACCUUGGUGGAUGAACUCUUAGGAUUGCUAUGUGUUUGUAGAAAAUAGUUUUCUCUCUGCUCAGGACAUUCAUGGCUGGCAAAUCAUGGCACUUCUAUGAUACUGUUUGCUCAUCUGUAAAGUACAUAUAAUAGCAUCAUUCUUGUCUAUUCAUUGAACUGAAAUGAGGAUCAAGUUAAAAAAACAAAAGGACUAUAAAAUGAAUCCUGUCUCUGAUAUGGACAGACUAUCCCAGUUUUGGUGAUCUGGUUGAAUUACAGAGGACUAGACUGAAUUACAGAUCACUAAUGGGCAAGAACACCUUGAGCAGUUUGGUGUGGUUGUAUUUGUGGAUGUAUUUCAAUUGCAGAAGCCAUAGAAGUUCUUUAUUUUUCUACCGGUUUUAUUUUGGUUCUAGUCUAUAGAUGCUUUUGUGAUGAAGCAUUGAAUCGUGUUCUGAUGAUCAGCCAAGGUUUCAAGAUUCUAUUUAAUCUUUAUAUGUUGUCUGCUGUACUUUCAAAGAAAAAAAAAUAAUAUUUUCAGUUACUGAUGAUUUGAAAAUGUUAAGUGGAUUGCCCAAAUUUGUCACACUUGUUGGCUUUCAUCUUUAGGUGACUGUUACUGAUGUUCUAGGUAUAUUUAGCCUUGCUGCUUAUUUGGGAAAACUAUUUCUUUAGGCCUUAUUUCUAAUAAAAUUAAAAUUCUGCUUUGAUGUAAGCAUAGGUGUUUUUUCACUAUCCCUUUUCAUUGCAAAUUGGUUGUACAAGAAUUUCAACAUAUCUGCAGAUAGUUUAUGAUCUUUUAUGUUUUCUAAAAAUUAAUUAUUGGAAUAAGAUGAAGCUAUUUUGUAAUUUUUAGAGUGGGGAAACAGAUGAUAGAUACUUUGUACUGUUUCAGUAUAAAUAUGUUUGUUGUUUAAAUAAUUCAAAAUUUAAAAAAACAUAUUCCUUUUGCAUAUACACAGACAUCAAUUUUUAGAAAGUAGAACUUUAAAAUAGAACAAAAGAGACCUACCUUAAUUACACUUUUGGCAGACAUACAAAAAGUAUAAUUACCCUGUGUACACUGAAUCAAGAAAUUAAGGAAUGAAGAAAAAGUGUAACAGUAAUGAGGCACAGAAAAUAGUAUUCGUAAGUGCACAGCAGUGGUCAGGGAAAAAAAUAACAAAUAAAUACAGAAAAAUCAAAAAAAAAAAAAAGAAGAAAGAAAUAACAAUGCUAGUGUUCAUGCAGGUUUGUUACAGGUAUGUAAAGUUGCAAGUCUACCCAUGUCUUCAAGAUUCACCCCAAAUGACAGCUCCUUCCAUGACAUUUAAGAACUCUAGUUCAUUGUAGCUCUUAACCACUUAUCAUACCCCACCAUAGCACUUCAGGGAAAAAAAAAUAAAUCAUCUCAUUCAUCUUGUCUUGUCACAUAUAAAAAUUCAUUUUGUAUUUAUUUUUCUUUUCCCACUAGGCUGUUAACCCCUGGAGGGUAAUGACUAUGUAUUAUUCAUCUCUGAAGCUAAUAUAUGCAGAUAUGCAGAGCAAAUAUUUGUUCAAUUAAAUUAAAUUGAAAUGUGAGAAAAGGGAGUAAUCAACUAAAACUGCUAAGUCUUACAAAAAUUCUACAAGGUGCCACUCUCUGGCUUUCUAUUAUCCCUGGAGUAAAUCAUAAACAAUUGUCCAGAUGGAUUAGGCACAUAUAAUGCAAUGUAUGGUUUUUAAUAUAUAAUAGAAAAGAAGUUAUUUUGAAUUGAAUUUUGAUGAUUCUUUGUAGUUUUCAUGCUCAAAUUCAUACUUGAAUAUCAUAUUUAGAAGCUAAGUAUCCCAGAAAAAUGUUUAUGAAUUUAGGAAAAAAAAUAUUAUUUGUAUGUGUUGAACUUGAAUUUACAUUAUUUCAUGUGGAUCUAAAGAUAAAAACACCGUGUCUCCUUUCAUGUAUAAUAACAUGUAAGACAUUGUUAUUAUGGUUAAUACUAUAAUAAGGUUGGCUGUGUGGAUUAAAGUAUCAAUGUUUAUUUACAAAAGAGUGGUAACAAAUAAAUGGAACAAUUCUUUAUGUGAAUUCUGUCAGAAUAAAGGAAGUGUUAUUUUUGGUACUUCGUAUAAUGCAAUUUGGUAUUCAUGCUGUUUGGAUCUUUGAUAUUAUCUCAACCAGCAAAAGUAGAGUUGUUAUUAGUUUGAGUCAUGCUUGAAAGAAUCUCUGAUUCCACCUUAGUCUGUUUUAAUUGGUAAUGCAAAUUUAAAACAUGGUGAACAGAUAUCCCAAUUUUAGUUUCCUAUAUAGAAAAAAACAUAGGAAUUAAGGGGUGGCGGAAAGUCUCUUUGAAGCUAAAUGCAUUUUGCCUAAGUGCAAAAUGGGUUUUCUUUUCAUCUGACUUGUACAAGUCACUAUCUCCAAUGCUGAUUUCAUCUAUUUUUUCAACUGAAUAAGUUAUUGGGAAGGAAGGAAAGACCUUGAUCAGUCUUUACUAAGACUGAUUGACUAAUUCAAUUUCUUCCUUCCUCCCUCCACUCCUUCCUCCCUCACUCCUUUUCUUCCUUCCUUCCUUCCUUCCUUCCUUCUUUAUUGUUACUAUUUUUUAGCUCAUUGCUGACCAUUCCAAACCUGGAGUUUGAAUCUUAUCAUUUGAAAUGCACACCUUUGCAAUGUCUUCAUUUUCAGUUCUCUGGUCACUUCAUUGCCAUCUAUUUGGCUAGGCCUACAAAGUCCCUCUAGGGUUUAUGUAGGCAACAAAAAUAAGUGUACCAGAACACGUAUCAGCCAACGCACAUGGUUGGAAUAAGAGAAUUGAUCCUAUGAUCAAUAUAUGGGCUACAAAGGCCACUUCUAGUUCUAGUCAAAUUUUCUAAACAACUAUAUAUACCAGUGACCACAAUAUCCAAACGUUUGGCAAGAUGAAUAUUGGAAUGUUUAUGUGAAAUGGCAUGGUUUUGAAUAUUAUCUUAAAAUUUAAAAAGAAAUAAAGAAAACCAUAUUGAGUCAAGCCAUGACAUAUGCAGGCAAUUUUCCACCUUUGCCUAGAUUUUUCAUCCAUAUUUGUUCAAUCAAUAAAAACCAUAGAGUUCCAGGAUGAAUAGGGAAAUAAUAGAACAUUCUCACUCUUGUGUGCCAUCCACUGUUAGGAACUUCACAUAAUAUUUUAGGAAGGACUUCACUAAUAGCAACAAAUCUAGAGACUUACCAGAUAAACCUUAUCUUUGAAUUCUAGAAAACAGAGAAAAAGGAGAAGUGAAAAGUGAUAAAAUAACCUAAGGAGGUGUUGUUAAAUGUAUUUUCACAUGUUUUAUGAUAGUAAUUUAUUACCAUCUUUUCCCUUUAUUCAAAUUUCCUGCAAAUCUUUUGCUUAUAUUAAUCUCAAAAUGGAAAUGGUGGAUAAAGGUAAUGGAUCGAUAGGAAGUUAAAUGGCUGGGAAAAUAAAAAUCAGAAAUGCAAAUUUUGUCCCAUGAUCCCUGUUGAAUAAACGGGUCCACGGACCCUUCCCUGGGUUGUUUUUUAUAUUUUUUCAUGUUUAAGAUUGACUCUUUUUUAGAUCUCUCCUGCUUUACUUUUGGGCAGAUUCACCUUUGCCUCUUCUAUUUCAAUUCUUUUUUAUACAAGCACAUAUUUCACUGCCUUCAGUGGUAUUUACUUAUAUUACAAACAUGUCUGUCUUCCUUAGUAGAAUCUUGAGGCCAAAAAUAAUAUCUUUAAACGUCCUUUCGAAAGCCCAUAAACUUAAAAAUGAUUUGCAAGUAUAGCAUUGUUAUGAUUUAAAUAUAAGGUAUCCCCCCAAAAGUUUGAGUGGUAGACAAUGCAAGAAUUUCCAGAGCUGAAAUGAUUAAGUUAAAACAGCCAUAACCUAAUCAAUGUAUUAAUCCAGGUAGAUGUAUUAACUGGGCAGAAUCUAUAGGCAGGUAGGGUGUGGGUAGAGGAGGUAGGUUGUGGGGGCAUGACAUUGAGAUUUAUAUUUUGUCCCUGGUGAGCAAACCUUCUCUCUGCUUCUUGGUUGUCAUGUCCUGAGCUGCUUUCCUCUGUAACACCCUUUUGCCAUGACAUUCUGCCUCAUAAAUAAACUUUUCUUCCUCUAACUGUUCUUUUUGGGUCUUUUGGUCAUGGUGAUAAAAAAAAAAGCUGACUAAUACAAGUAGAGAAAACUUUCUUAACUACUUUACCUCAACUACAAACAAGGAUAUUUUUCAUAGCAUCAAAAUAAUAACAACAACAACAACAGUAUCAGGUGAAAUGAACAGAAUUGUAUUCUCUGCCCUGAAAUUCAUAUAUUGAAUCCCUAAACCCAAUGUGAUAGCAUUUGGUGGAGGGACCUUUUACCACUUUCAGAGGUGAUUAGGUGUACAUAAAAUCACAAGACUGAAGCCCUGGUAAUGGGAUCGGUGUCCUUAGAAAAAGAGACACCAGAGAGCUAAUUGUGUCUCUCCACAAUGUGAGGACACACCAAGAAUGCCAUAAUCCGAAACCAAGAAGAGUAUCUUCACUGGGGAAUCUAAUAUGAUGGAGUCAUGAUCACGGAUUUUAUAACCUCCCAAACUGCAAGAAGUAAGUUCCUCUUGCUGAAGCCACCUAAGCUGUACUAUCGUAUUAUGGUAGGCUGAAUUGAUGGGAAAUAACAUUGAUACAUUGCUACUAUCUGAUGCUCACGUCCUGCUCAAGUUUCAUCAGUUGAACAAAUAAAUUCCAAUUAAUGUACUUUACAGUAUAAGAAUUUAUUUCCAAUUGAAGUUCCCUGUUUGGUAUUCAUAUUUUAUUAGUCUUCAUUAAUAUAGAAAAGUUCCGCAGACUUUCCUUGACUUGCAUGACCUUGAUAUUUUUGAAGAUUACAUACCAAUUAUUUUAUAAAAUGGAUUUAAUUUGACUCUUAUGCAGGGACCAUAUCUCAUGUAAAUUUGGAUCCCAGCAUGUAGGAUAGUGUCUGGCAUAGGAUGGUGGUCAAUAAAUGCUAAUUAAGGAAUGAAUUAGUGACUGAAAAUGUCUGCUGCAAAACAGACUCUGAAUCACCUAGCUUAUGCUAAAAAUAGCUUAGCUAUUUUUUUAAAUAUUGCACAUAUUUCAGAUAGAAAAAAACAACAACUCUCAUAUUGAGAGUCUAUGUCUUCUAUCAGCAGUGAGGUCUUUCUUUAAUCUGUUUAGUGAGCAUGUGUCUUCUGGCCAUUGUGUAAAAUAAUGGUAGUUCUUUAGAGCAGUGUUCCUCAAAACCUGGUGUAUGGACUGCUUGCAGUUCAAAUGUGGCUUCUGGAUCAUUGUGAUAAAUGGAGAGAAACUGGAUUAAAAAGUUAGGAACUUUUUUAACAUUUUAAUAAAGUUAUUUUUGCUCAAUAAAAUGCUUCAAAAAUGACUUUUUUAUCAUUUUGUUACACUUCUCUGGCUAUUAAUUUGGACUGUCUUCUCCAUAAUUAUUGAUCAAAAAUUAGUUGAAAAUUUAAAAAAUGUCAUAAUUUAUCACAGUUUUUAAUUAUUUUCCAUGGCUUUAGGGUGAUGAAAGUAAAGUGGUAGAAAUAUGAGUUAGACCAUGUUGGGACUUGGCUUAGAACCUGAAGAAUGAGCAGGAUAUAUCUAGAUUAUAAAGUAGAGAAAUGAAAAAUUUACAAAUAAUAAGAUGUAAGCAUGCAUGUACGUGUGCUCUUGUACAUGGACUUGUGUUUGUACUGUCAAAUGUGUCAGUAAAUUUGUGUUUAAGGUUUUCUCUGCAUGUAUGCUUAUAUGUCUAUUCAUAUAUGCUCUGUGUACCAGUUUUUUUGGAAGUUGUGUUCAGGAAUGUCAGCUCAUAGAACUGGGUGAACUUGUUCUUACCUUUAAGUUUCUUAACUAGAAAAUAAGCAUCCUAUACUAAGUGUUUAUCCUAUUUCCUUCUUUUCUGGUGUAUCUGAAGGUAUGGAGGAAGGCUGUCAGGUCUAAAACCAAUGUAUAUUCCACUUCUUCCCCAGGAGCCUCAAGUGACAGUAGAAAUCAUGGUUUCAAUACAGAGUAAUCUUGAUUCCUCCUACUUUUGAUUUAAUUUCAUCCCAAAACAUUGGUUCUAGUAGCACUUUCCUCUAUAGAACAUUCCCUUGUUCUUCCUUUCUUUUUAGAAUGCAUUCUUUCCAUGAACCAGCAGAAGCCCAGAAUUCCUACUGUGGCAGAACACUAAUGAGCUGCUAUGACCAAGACAGUGACCAGUGAUAAUAUUAUCACAUCUAGGUGACAGUCUGUGCACAGCUUUCCAAAGAUUUAAGUCAAGGGGGAAUAGACGUAGAUAGAAUAUGAAAAAUGAUGAAAGACUGGAAUGAGCAUAAUAAUAGGAAAAAAAACUGAAAGGAGGGAAAUAUAUUAUUGAUACAAAUUUAAUCUACAUUAGCAGCCUUCAAUCUCAACACUAAGCUUAAUUUAAAGUAAAUUUCUUAAACAACCAUCAUAAUACUCUGGGCUUAGGAAAUAAAUACAAGAAUAAAACAUGAGAACUUGCUUUUGAAUGAUCUUACUGUUUUGGGUAAGAUAAAUGCAACCAUGAUUAUGAUGUGGGUCAUUGAGAUAUUGGUGUAUUCAUAGAGGAAAGGUCAUAGACCUGCCUCCAAGCCUUCUUGGGGCAGAAAUGAUGCCAAUGAUGGUUUCUGUCAUGGGCAUCAUUUCUGCUGCAACUUGAAAAUCAAGAGUUCAAUCUUGGUACUGUACAUUGUGGGUAUUUAAUAAAUAUUUAUUGAAUAAAAGAACAAUGUAAUUUAUUAGAAUUAGCUGACAAAUUAGAAGUAAAAAUAAAUCAAGGGAAAGGAACUAAGCAGAGAUGUAGAAACAUAAACCAACCUGGUGAGGAGGAACAGGGACAGAUCAAUGGUUCCUGGUGGUGGAGUAGGAACUGUCUGAUAGGGAUGGUGAGUUGAGAAUAGAAACAAAAGCAGAAGCCAGGUAAUGAAGAUCUGCCUCAGCAAUGUGAGGACUCUUGGCUUUAUCUUCAGGUAAAGGGAGUGUAACAUUGUGGUUUUAGUUGUAGUUUGACUGUAGGUUACUGGCUUCUGCGGGAGGCAGGGCAGACAUGGUGAUACUAAUUCAGAUGUUAUUUCCCCAAUCUUGACAAGAAAGAUAAAGCCUUAACACAGAACAAUAAAGGAAGAGAGGAAGAAUAGGGAGUGGUAUUGGUGAAUGAUUGAUGAGACAUUUUAAAAAUCCAAUCAGAGAAACUUUUCAGGAAUUACUGAAUAGUUGAGGGGGAGAGGUAAACUGAGUAUGAAGAGAAAGAGUGAAAGCCCUGAGUUUUCGACUUGUGUUCCUGGGUGGAUGAUCCACUAAAUGAAACUGAGGUCCAUGGUAGGACAAGAACUAUUUGGAAAGUAGGCAGGAACAUAAAAAGGAACCAGGUUUUCAGCAUUAAAUUCGAGAUUCCUUUUGAGAAAGAGAGAAGGUCAAAACUAGAGAAAAGUGUGUAUGUGCUUUUGUAUGUAUGUAUGCAUAUACAGCAAGAGUUCUCUGUGCCAAUUUGGUCUGCACAGAGUCAUGUAAAAGCUUCACUCUCUCAUUAACUUACUGCUGUCAAAUUAAUUUAUUGCUUAAAUAUGCGAUUUGAAACUCCAGUAAUUCAUUCCAUAUUUCAAAACGUACCACAAAUAGAGAAGAAUGCUGUAGCUUAAAACUGGUUCCAGACUUGUGAAAACAUCAUGUGUCUCUACUACCAAAGCAAAUAGGAAAACUGCCAGUUACAUGCCUGAACCUGCUUCGGUUUCAAUUACCUGGAUUAUUGAGGCAGAAACCACCUUUGUGCCUGAUUUACCCUUGUAAUUGUCUUAUUCUUCUGCUUUGCCUUGCUUUGGGCAUAUUUCUCUGUUCUGCUAUUAUUAGAAAGGAAAAUUCACUUCCUUUUUUGGUGCUUCCAGGAAAAAAACAUUUAAAACAUACUUUAUAAUUCACAGAACUAACAUUUUGUAAGCCUCUAUAUUUAGAGAGUAGUUUGCUGAGCAAAGGGAAAACGUUAGCCAGUUUUCACCUCACUAUCUAUCUGAGUGAUAGGUUGGUUACUUCUUCAUCCUUUCUUAUAGCAAAACUCAGUGAUUCAAUCCUUUCAGUAAUGACCAUUGAACAUCUCUUGAUACAAGAUGUGCAAAGGGACCAAAUAUACUCUUAAACCUUUCAUACAUGGUAGUCAGUGUUGUAUAUAUCUGCAGCCAAUUUAAGCAAUUCAAGCACCUACAGAGAAAAUCAAAUUUGAUUAGUGUCAAUAGGAAGAGAAGACUUAUCCAUCCACCCUCCAACUACACCCUGAGAUUUUCCAUUACAACCCCAGAUCUAAGGGUUUCAACCAAAUGGACACCUUAACAGCAGAACCAUCAUAUCCUAAGACUUAACCCAAAAUACCUACUUAUUAAUUUUUUCAACUUAGUUAUAGAAAAUUCAGAAUGUUAAGAUAGUGCAUAAAUAAAUUAUACCUAACUCACUUUACCUUUUGGGAUCAUCUUUUGUGAAAGAGGUUGACAAAAUUUAUGUGAUUCAUACCUCCCCUUGUAAAGUCAGUGAAAGUGAAUGUCAACUUUUAGUAGUCCAUUUAUUUUAAACAUCUAAAAUGUAUAGAAUCCAAAACACAUAAACCUAAAUUAAACAUUUUAAAAUUCAGAAACAUUUAACAGGCAAAAUUCUUAAGGUGUUUAAGUAGCCCCCAUAACUUAUUUUCAUCUAUUAGUGUGUUUAUUCCUGUAUAGACAUAAUCAAUGGGUUUUGAUCUUACACUAUAUAUUAGAUAUUGUACUGGUCUUUGAAAACUCAGUAAUCAUAAAUCACAUAAUCUAUCCUCAAAGGGAUGUGCACAGAUCUAAUAACAUGGAGGAGAGUCUCUUAUUACUAAAUUGGGAAAAAAUCUUCAGGUAUGGCUUCCAAAAGAUGGUAUGUGAAGGAGGAGAUUUCAAGAGUCAGGCAGACUGACUAAAUGGAUAAGGUGCUUCCAGACAUCACAAACAAAUAACGAUUGCAAGAAAAAUACACUUGAGGAACAAUAAUAUUGUGAGUUUUGAAUGUAGUGGGCAAGUAAGGGAAGUGAAGAUAAAUAAGCCCCUGCCAUGUCACAAUAGUUUUGCAUGCAAUGCUAAAAACUUUGAACCAAAUUUUAAAGACAGGGCAAAAUAAAUGAGUAAAUUUAAGAAUUGGCAUGAGUGGACCAGAUUUACAUUUUUGAAUGAUCUCUGCAAGUUUUUAAAACUGAGAAAAUUUUUAAACGGAGAAAACUAUGUAAAUUGAUCAAGCAGGAAAGGUCAAAGAACAGGAGAGUGAUCCAAGAGAAGAGUGAGAAGAUAGAGCUGAGAAGGUCAUGCAAGAUAUAUUUUAGAUAACAAUUUGACAGGACUUCACCACUCAUAUGUGGGAAGUUAACAUAAGCUGAAAAUCUUGGAGAGCUCCCAAUGGUUUGCAAGAAAGCCUGGGUAGAUGGAGGUGUGAUUAAGAACAGGUUUGGGGGAAUAUCAGAUAAAUCUGGUCCUUUGGAGAAACCUAAGGUGGAAGUAGAAAUUGGAGGUAGUCAGUAUAAAAACUAAGUUAUUUCAUUGGUGUAAAUGGGGUAGUACAAUAGGAUCUUUAAAGAAGGGAGUGAAAAGAAAUUGAAACCAUAGUGAUUCAGAAGAUUACAUAAAAUUAUAAACACAAGACUGGUGUGACAAAAGUCUCACUCCUAAUCUUAAUAUCUUUAAAUAUCAACGUGAAAUGAUUUCUUCUAUAUAUGCCCUAUAUUUUGAAAAACAAGGAAACAUUUAGGAAAAAAAAACUUUUUAAGAUUAAAGAGCAUCAAAACCUUAAUGUUUUUGUACUUCUGUAAAUCUUAUCUUUAGAAAAUGCACUUUAAACUUUGACUCAAAAUGUUCAACUAGUAACUGUUCAAAAUGAGCACAAUAACAUGAUCAAAUAUGUCUAUUUUCUCCUAUCUGGUUUUUAAUUUUUGUUUCCAUAUGAUUUUGUAGUACUCAACUAGUCUGAAGAACAACCUUUCCAAAGUGUUAAGUUUUCAGUGAUUUCACUAAAUCACAGCAAUAUUUGCCUGCUUUAGCUCAUCAGAAGGAAAGUCCAUGACAUAAAAAAUGAAUAGGAGUAAAAAGAAAUCAAAUAUGACCUUAAUAACAUAUUGUUCUACUCCUUUUGUGUUUAAUGUUGUCAUAUGAAUUAGCAUAAUUGAUAAAAGGAGUGAUUUUUUUCCACACUAUAAAACUAAAUUGAGUUAAAUGACCACAGAAAGAAACAUAGUCUGACACGGGCAUUUUCCCCCUCUUUGAGAUUUUAAUAGAUUUUAGGCAGCUAUUAAAUAUUAUAAAAUGUAUUUUAGGCCAAUAUUUUAGUUAAGCAAAUAUUUUAUUUUUAAUUAAACCCAUAAGCAUUAGUAAGUUCUCUGUGGAAUCAAUGUUAGUAAGGGCUGAAUAUCACAAAUAUGACUCAAUUCUAUAGCCUUGAAGUUUUUAAGGAUUUGUUAUUACUCAGGUUUUACUAUAUUUCAUCUUUGUUGUGAAAUUAUCUAAAUAAAUCUAUGAACUUUUAUCAAAACCGGAGGGAAAAAACCUAAUAACUUAAUUUGAUAAUAGCUAUUUUCUAAUUUAUGCUGUCAGAAAAUGUCUCACUUUCAUCAUAAAUCAUAUUUGUCAUUGUAAAACCAUUAUUUAAGUUCAAGUCAUAAAUAAGCAGAUAAAAGACUUUGUCUUUUGUAGCAUUUAUAGUCAUAUUCAAACUCUACAUUUUUUAAAAAAAUUUUGGUCUUAUAAAAAAUGGAAUGUAUGAUCAUUUGAAAUAACUUGAGCAUCAGUUAUUAUUAAUGAGCAUAUUGGAUGGGUAAGACCCUUCCCAGUAUCCACCUCUGAUUCCCCUUCAUGUCCCAUCCCUCUUCUGUCUUUGGUGUGAUAUUUUCUUGACCAGAAGAAGCCACAUACAGCUCUAGCCUGUGUGGUCAAGGAAUGUCAACUGCAUUUGGAAUUCUGCCAAAAGAUAACAUUUUAAAAAACUCUUGAGAUUUUUAAAAAGUGAAACCUAAAAUGAACUCCCUCCCUAUAUUUUAAACCUCCAUAUGUUGUUUUUGUGGAAGGUGGGACAAUGUGCUUCAUAAUCUUUAUGAUUAUGAAGAAAUAUGUCAUCCUACACUGGUAUUUUUAUGAGCUUCUUGAUGCAAUAUUUAAUUAAAAUGAGUCUUUACUUAUUUUAAUAUUGCUCUAAUCUACUUUUGAUGAGAGGCUAUAUCCCUUUUUUUAUAGAAUAUAUUUAAAUUUAGUGUCUAAAAACAAACCACUCCUUAAAUUCAAUUACAAAUUCUGUCUUUCCAGUUUAGAAUUACAUGAACAAUGUUUUAAGUUUAUAGUUUUGUUGAUAAGAACAUAUUAGAAUAUAAAGUUUUGUUAUCUCAGGGUUAAAAUUAGAAAUUUCUGUAUGCAUGAAGGAAAAUAAAAAUUUUAAGAACACUUUUAAAUAUUACUUGCAUUAAGUAAAUGUUCUCUUUGUAAAACCUCACCCUUUAUACAAAAAUGAAUCAGUAUAACAUAUAUACAUAUAUAUAUACAUAUAUAUGUAUAUAUAUUACCAUGAGAAAUUUGUAAAAAUUCCAAAUUCACCUUUCUCUUUCCAAUACAGAAAACUCCUUUUACGUUUAGCAUGUGCUAAUUAGAUAUGCUUAAAAUAUUUUAAUUUUUCUUUUUAAACUAGAUUUCUUUCAUCUAUACUAAUUGGUUGGUAAACCUUUGUAAAUGUUUGACACCACUUUUGCAAUAAUCUUCUUGCUUCCAGUCUUUCUACAUAACACUUCUAAACUGCUACUGCCAUGAUGCUAUCCCCAUAGUGCACUUAUGGCCACUUUGUGCAGAGAAUAUCAAUAAUGCCUGGUUAUCCACAGAAUAAAUUCCAAGUUCUGGUCCAGAGAACUUUCCCUUUUAUAGCUGGUCCCAAUUUCCUUUCUACUCCCUAAAUUUCUCAAUUCUUAAUCAUACACCCAGUAAUUGUAUCGAGCUAGCAUAGUUUUCAGUCCCUUUCCCCUAUAACUUUUUUCUUAUGUUGCUACAAAUUGAAAUCCUAUUUAACAGUUUCAUAUUUGGUAAAUAUUCCCUGAUGUUCAUGUGAAAUCCCUAUCUAAUAUCAUAUUUAGUUUUCUUUUCUCAUGUUCUGGGUGUACAUUGUGCCUGAAAAGUCCCCAUAAUAACAUUUCAAAAGACCUUUGAAAGCAUGACCUACUGUCAUAAGUUUUAAUUACAAAGCAUAAGAUUCCUUUAAAUUUUCAUGUUUUAAGAUAACCCCAGGUCUACAUCUCCAGAACUUUUCAGAAAUGUUUAUAAAAGUUUGGUUGCUGAGACUUAGCAAAACAGCUUACAGAUAUAUAAAAUAUUUGCACCAAUAAAAGAUUAAGAUUAUUUAGAAUAAUUGACAUAAGACAGUUGUGAUCUAUAUGUGUGUUUAAUUCAAAACUUUUGCAAAUUAGCUCUGCAUAACUCACCAAAAAGUAGUUUAGUCAUUUAACUCUAUUUGUUUCUAUAGCAUUCUUGGGCUACACAUAUUCCUCCUCCUCCUUCUUCUCUUUUUUUUUUCUUUAUUUUUUUGGUACCUAGGAUUGAAUCCAGGGGCACUCAACUACUGAGACACAUCCUUAGCCCAUUUUUGUAUUUUUUUAGAGACAGGGUCUUGCUGAAUUGCUUAGGCCUUGCUAAGUUGCUGAGGUUGGCUUUGAACUCUCAAUUCUCCUGCCUCAGCCACCAGAGCCUCUGGGAUUACAGGCAUGCACCACCAUGCCAGGCUGUGUUUUCAUUUUUGAUAGUCUGCCUUCUCUCCAGCCACAUGUGUUUUUUUCCAAGGAAAAAACUUAGAACAUAAUAAUCAAGAUAUGCACCCAAUUUACAAGUAAAUAACUAAUAAAUAGACACCCCCAAUUGAUUUGAUAAUCAGUUCUAUUGGCAUUGUUUAUAAAGAAGUAUAACUUUAAGCUAGAAAGUAAAUCAAGGAUUUUUUUCUUCCAUAUAUUAAGUCACUUAAAUCUUAGAUAUAUUUAUAUAUAUGUAUAUAGUAACAUUUAUACAUAUAAAUGUAUUUAUAUCUUAUUUAGCAUAGAUUUAUAUCUAGUAAUCAGCAAAUUGUCCUAGUCCUUCUUUUAAUAACCAGUAAUGGGUAAAUUAUAAAAGCUGUUUAUAAGAAACCAAGCAGGAAUUUUUAAAUUCUUCCCAUCUUUUUCUUUUAAAUAAUUCUAAAAUAAGCUUGCUAUUACUCUAGUCUAUGUAGAAUUUUAAUUUUUUGAAGUGUUUAUUAAGUUGUGAUAUGGACUAAAAUAAAGCAUAACUAUUGGUUUAGCUGGAUCUAGUAUGAAAACUAUAAUACAUAAAAAUUCUCAAACCAUAUACUGAAUUAUCCAAACAAAAUUAUUGAUUAGAACUCUCUCCUGGAGGGAAUUGAUGUUUUUUAUACUAUUCAGUUUAAUUCAUCUAAAAUAAAUAAAAUGCCCUUCUAGUCAGAAAUGACUUAGGCCUCCUGGUUAAGCACUUUAUUUCCAGAGUUUUCAAACACCUCAGUCACAAGGUUCAAUUCCAAUAAUCUUUGGACCACACAGAUAGCACAGUGUUUAAUACUUGAUUUAACAAAAUAGAGGCAUUAGCACUCACAAUUUUGAUUCUUUACAUAUUGACCAGACUUGUUAAGGCAAAAGAUCAAAGACUCUUUUUUUUAAAAAAAAAAAAAAAGAAAAGAAAAAAAAAAAGCAAAUCUCCAUGCUAGAAAAUGGGGAAAAGCUGAGUCUGAAAUUAAAUCCUCAGCCUCAUAGUUGGCUUUUCAGCAGUUCCAACCUCAAUUUUUCUCUGCAACUCCCAUUUAAAACAAAAUGAAAGUUGCAAAAACUAGGUGCUGUGUUAUAAGCCUUUUUGUUUUCUUCAGAAUAGCAUUUCUCUUUUUAAUCAGCCUGUCUCCCACUUUUAUUACUAUUUUAAUCUCUGUUCUCUUUUAAUUUUUCUUUUUCUAUAUAUCCUUCUUUUUCCUUCCUCUUCUCCUGCAUCUUCCAACUUGAAUCUAAUGUUUCCACCUCCUAACAACCUAGUACUUUUGUCUGUUUGGAAUAAGCACACAUAUACAAAGCUGAGUAACUUUCUCAGAACCAUCUUCCUCUCUUCCACUUGCUUCCUUUAUGAAACUAUAUUAGAUAAAAGUUGAAGGAAUGUUCUCAGCACAGAUUCACUCUCUUGUGAUUCUCCUUAGCAAUUUGGUGUGUUGUUUAUCUAUCUAUCUACAUAUAUCCUUUGACAAAUGUUCAUUAUUAGAAUCUUUCCCUACUUCUAAGUGACUGUUUCCAUCUUUAUAUGACAUGUUUCUAGUGCUUUAUUUCAUAUCACUAUGAAUUACUCUUGCUUUAUUAGACCAAGAAAUAUUAAAGAGUGGUGGAAUACAGAAAAGUCUGAGAACUUAAGUACAAUAGAAACCCAUCUGGCUAGGUGGCAUCAAACCACAGUACUUCAGACCACACAGUGUACUUCAUCAACACUUUAGUUAAACAGACUUUUUUUUUCUAUAGCCAAAAACAAAAUAACACAUAAUCUUCCAAAAAUAUUUUAAUUUUUCACUUUGGGUUGGUACUGUAUUUUUGCCCUAAGCAUAUGUGCUUUAAUCAUAGAAAUGUCUUUCUUAUGCAGGGUAGAGGAUGCCAGCUAACUAGAGAAGAGCAAAUAAAAAACUUUUCAGAAUGAACAGGGCAUUCAUGCAUACACUGGCAGCAAGGCCGGCACUUACUCAUCUCAAAGGACAGUGUCUUUUGGCUAAGACUGCGAUCCUCUCUGCUUUGACACUUGAAAAUGGUAACUGUGUUCAUAAGACAAACUAAACAUUGCCCUUCUUAGUGUGAGGAGACUAUGAAAAAGAGUUCACAAAUUGGAAUUCAUGAAUAAAAUUAUGUACAAUAUUUUUUUUUGGGAAAAAAAAAUGACUCAUUACUAUACCAAGUCAAUCUGAGUUUCAGGCACCAGUACGUUUAGUUUAUUAAGGAAUGAUUCCGGUGUAGUCAAGUCCACGGAAAUGGAUGCCUUCCUGUUACUGAACUUGGCUUUCACUGAAGGCUGCUGAGCUGACAGAGGUUAAGAAAGGGGUCUGUUAGGUACUGCAUCAUUAUGUUCAGAUUUUUCUCAAAGCAACUGAAGCAAAUACUCAGACAAUUUCUCCUCUCUUUAACAUUAAGAUAGAAAUAAGAGUUACUAUUAAAAAAAUACGGGCAGGAAAAAUAACAAGAUUUUAAAUGUAACACUGAGAGUAAUUUGAAGAGAUUAAAAAAUACAUAUAUAUUAGAUAGGUGGAGGUUUCUUGCUUUAUUGGUUGUAGUGAGUUUUUCCUAGGUAGUAACAUAACUGUGAUUUGAUGAAUCACACUGUUCCUUUUGUUGUUGUUGGUUUUGAAACUGCUUUAUUUGAUUUUGAAGUGAGGAAAAUAUCAUAAAAUAAUCUGAAAACAAUCCUCCAAAGCUACAAUGCCACUUAUAAAUAAAUAAAUCGGUCAUCACAGCUCUCCUCUUGCCUUGUAUGCCCCAGAAAAAUACAUUCCAUGACUUUGACCUUUUCAUUUCAUUUCUAUGAGCUCUCAUAUUUUCCCACCUCUAUAUGUUUUGAACAAUCUCUUAAGCUGCAUUUUUUCAGAAUAUCUAGACAUCUCAAUAUAUUAAUAAAAUAUUAAUAUCGACACCAUCAAUAUUUCCAAAACAUUAUCAUUAUCAAUAUUGUUAGUAUUAACCAUAUUAAUAUCAAUAUUUAUUCUACCCCACUCUUCAAAGGUUAUGUGUGAUUAUGUGCAUGUAUACAUAUAAGUAUAUCUACACACAAAAAAAAAAACCAAAAAGGCUUCUAUAUAUAGAAAUAUAUACUUUUGGUAUAUUCCAAAAGUAUUGAGAUAGGCAGAUUAGAUUAUUACGCAUGACAGGACAGGAUAGAGUCAUGUGGACACAAGAAAAAGUAAGAUCCAGAAAAAUUGAAAAUCCAUCUAGGAGAGCUACCAUUGGACUCUUUCUUGCUGUUUUGUUUGGUUGGCAAAAUUUACAAGUGAUUUCUAUGUUUUUAAAGUAGUAAUUACAAAAUUAGAAGUGCUAUAACUUCUGGCUUUAGAAUAUCACUUCUUUAAUAAAAGUCUACAAAAAAUCCAAUGGUAACUAAUUUCUAGAAUUGUACAUAAUAUUUAAGGAAAUGUACAGGCAAGAUAAUACAUUGAAUUUCUUAUAAAAGGACAAAAGACUUUCAAAGUAGUUAGAUCUACCUAAUACCCACUAGGGCAGUUUAACAAGAAUUGAUCACCACUGAGGAAUGUGGCACUUUUUACUGACCACAGAGCUUGAAGAACUUUAAUUGCUAGCUUAUUUGGUUUAAAAGAAUGAAAAGAAUCAGAAACAGCAUACAAUUCUUCAGCAAUCCAAAAACAAUACUUUAAUAAAGAAUUAUUAAUGAUACACUUAUUGCCAAGUUCCCUGUACUUAUUAAUAUUAUUAUGCUAAUUUUUGAGUAAAUAGCAAAAACUUUUAAUAGCAUGUGAUGUGUGGGAUUUAUUUUCUACAUUUUUUUAACAGGGAUAGGUAUGCACUUUGAAGUACACAGAAAUCAAGUUAUUUACAUAUCUUCUGAUGGUUCUCAAACAUUGUACUACCUACAUGUCUAGAAACUCAAAAGUUGUAAGAAUUUUACCUUCUAUAGUAUAUAAACAAGUAUAAACUUUCAAGGCAAAAAAAAAAAACACAACUUUUGGGGGUUAUAAUUUGAAAAUGACUUCCAUUACUGGAAAAGAAAGAACAAUACUUUGUGGGUUCAGUAGUAGGUAGGAAUAUAAUGCUCUGAUUUUUUAUGGUUUAUGGAAAUACACUACCACUGAUCAAUACAUAGCUUUUUACUGCUGCUGCUGUAUUUUAGAUCAUUUGUCAUAGUAAAAGUUACUAAAGUAAUUAACACAGUACUUCUCAACCAAGUUUUGGUAUAACUAUGGGAAUGUCUCUAAAACACAUGAAACAAUCUUAAAUAAUAAAAAUACAUCAAAGACAUCAACUGGCAUGUGUUAUUGGGGAGAUAGUCACUGAGCAGAGAUGGGGUUUCAUGAUGAUAGCAAUCAUGAGCAAGUGGCUGGUGGCUGGAUCAGGUUUAUAAUAUUGAAGAUCAUGAAGAACUUCUCUAGUGAGCCAAGUCAGAGUGGAGGGCAUUUUGUAUAAGCGGAAUCUCCUGAGUGAAAGAUUGCAGUUCCCAGUGGACAUAACCUUUAAUGAGAUGUAAUGGCAAGGUGAGUCUGAGGUUGCCAGGAAAGAUGGUUACUUGAGAAUGAAGGAAACAGUUUAUGUGUGGCUUUGACAUCUAGAUUGAGAGGUUUACCUUCAGCGUGGUCUGAAAUAGGGACUCGGAAUCGAUUUUUACGCAGAGUUAUAAGAUAAUGAAAGCAGCAUUUCAAAUGGACUGGCCCAGAAGUACUAUGCAAUAUAUGGUGACGGAGGGUGCAAGGUGUGGAGCAGUCUGGAGCCAUGAAAGUUCCUAGGAAAUGUUUCCAGUAAUGCAGGUGUGAAGUGAGUGAUAAGCUCUUAGCUUCAGGUGGUAGCAAUUAGAGAGGAAUAAAAGGAAAGGAUACCUGAGGCAUUUAAUUUAUAAUAACACUGUAUAUCUAUAUUUUAAUCUCAUAAGUAACCCACAUGUUUGGUCUCACGGUUGUUGGUUUAGUUCUGUGCAAAAAAAAAAAAAAUAUGUUACCACUAAUGUAUUCCUUAUCUCUCAGUUAAAGGCAUUAUUAAAAACCCACAUUGUUCUGCCUAUAUAAAGACAUUAGUACACAGUAUUACAGAUCCGCUAAGAGCAUGCACUUUGAAUUGUUUUCCAUCCAUGGCAGUAGAAUUUGCUGAGACAGACACACACCCCAGUCCAUCUCCAUUAUCAACAAAAGCUGGCACUUUUGAGAUUGUCGACAAGGAUUAGUGACCCAUUUGAAGCCUGGAACUGAAAGCUCUGUGUCAAACAGAAGGUAACUGGUACAUAUGGGGUUCUAUCCCCUUAUUAAUGCCAUCUACUGAGCCACUGAAACAAUCUACCAUGUGUUGUAAGGAAGGGAAACUAGUUGCCAGAAAGAUGGCAAAGAGUAAAAUGAACCGGAUUUCUUUUUGAGUUCUAUGUCAAUGAAUUCUGUUGAAUUUUUUCUAAUUCUCUACAUUGUCAGGGCACAGGCUCCUCACUAAAUGAACAGCAAAUUUCAUGAGGACAUGAGAUUUGAUGCUGGAAUAAAUCUCUUGUGAAUGAUAAAAACAUGCAUUUCCCGUUUUAAAAGUUUUGACUCAUACUGUGCAUAACAAUUGUAAUGCCAUUUAGAGGUCAUUUAUGAGAUGGCAAUAUAAGCAUGAUAAUUCUUUCCACAAAGUGGAACAUUUCAUUCUUUCUCAUCAAAAAGUGGAGACAUAUUUUGUAAUUGCAAGCAGUGUUCUGUCAUUUGCUUGUUUUUACAAUUGUACUAAUCAAAGAAUUUCAACCAUUGCAUUUUGCUUUAUGGCCUCUAACCUAAGAAAAUAAACAUAGGAUGAUUUUCAUAUGUGAACAUCACAUAAAUUGCAUCAGUAACAUUCUGGUCAAUUCCAUUUGUCCUGUCAUUUGAACAAUUGAUUCCCUCAUAUCCAUGAUCUGACAAUUAAGUGAUUCAAAUAAGCUAUCCAAAAAAAGAUUACUUUUAAUAUGUUUUUUCCUCCUUGGACAACCUUAUAUCCAGUCUCUGUGUAUUCAUUAGGCUAUUUUGCCAGUUAUACCAACUUGAAAAGAAUAUUUUUUUAACGUAAUAGAUAUUUAUGGGUUAUGUUUCUGUAAUCAAAUUAUCUCUGUUGUCAAUCAAGGAGAUAUUCUAGAGACAUGAGUAAAAUAUUGAGUGAAUAUUAUUUAAUGAAUCAAGUAGGGCUCUUUUAACCUUGUGGUUGCAAUUUCUAUUUUAGAAAGACACUAGAGACCCAUAUUUAGAAAUCUCUAGGAAUUUGCUCUGGGCAAUAUAGCACUUUCAUUUUAUAAAGGGAAGGAUAAAGCUUCUCUUUUUGAGUUGAACUUGCCUAUAUAAAAAAAUGUGUUCUGUCUUUGGUAUGAUCCUAACAGGUAGCCUAAUCACCUUGGGUUCUAAAAUACCUAACAAAGCUUGAUGGGGGGAUACAGAUUUAAACUAUAUGGGGAGUGCUUAGUUUGGGGCCAAUUUAUCUAUCAGUUUCUUGCAGAUAUAAUGAUAAUUAAAGCAUAAUUAUCAAUGUGAGAAUUGCUGCCUAAAGAAAAAAGAAAAGGCUUCUUUGUUUAUGAUGAUGAGGAGGAAAGUUGUAAAUAGUUUAGAUGAGUUCAUGAAAUGGAAGAAGUAAACUGGUGCCAGGACACUCGGGGUAAAGAGGCUCAUAUAAAUACUGAAAAUAGCAAAUGAUGCAUAAAUAGCACAGCAACAUUGAAUACAUAUUUUGAUAGUUUGGGUGACUGUUUCACAAAAUGAAUGCUCUUGAGCAGGCAAGUAUAAAGCAUAUUUAAACUGUCAGAUGAAAAUACAAAGACCAAGAAUUUUCUGUACCAGAUUAUAGCAUAUGAAAAGGAAAAUUCAAAUAAAGUUUCUUUUUUUUUUUACAUAAACCCUUGAGAUAGGUCAAUUUUUAAAAACACCAAUUAUGCUGAAUUAUUACAAAUUGACUUGGUAUAGAUUUAAAUCAGGAACUUAAAGUUAUUACUCUAAAUAUGAGCAUAAAGUUUACCUGAAAAUUCUUCGUGUAAAGAAUUUAUUUCCAUAAGAAAAUCAAAAAUAUAUAAAAAAGGUCUUUUGAGAAAUACUUAAAUUUCACAAGUUAGACAUUUUAUAUUAUGAUUUAAUUUUUAUUCAGAGAAUGUCAGACAAAGAAUCAUAUGUAAUUUUUAAGUUCAAAAAGGAACAAAUAUUGUCUUAUAAGCAGAAAAAAAUAGGAGGUCAAGGCAUAUUUUACUUUUGAUUAAUUACCGAUAAUAGAGUAUUGGUCAUCCAAGUAGCCUCAGGAUAAUGGAGCAAACCCUUUAUAUUUUGUUUUGGUUUUGUUCAUUUGUUUCUACUGAUCUCAGAUUACUUAGAUAUGAAUUCUCAGGACACUCUGGCAGUAAUAAUUUUUAUUGGAAAAUUAUUUCACUGUACUUCUUUAAUUUUACAAUUUCUUUUUCAAGAGAGUACACAUUUCAUUAUAGUAUUUCAGUAUAAUAGGAAGAGACAAUGCAAAUACAGAAGUAAAAGGUGGUCAGUGGGUGAAGGAUAUGAAGAUCUUUAGAGAGACAUUAAGAGACUGCUUCAUAAAUACAAGCCCAGUAAUAAAAUCAAAGGCAACUGAUCAUAAAUGUUGCAACCAUCUACUAUCAGAUAUCCACAGGAGAGCUUAAGAGUGCCACUGGAUAUUUGACACACAGUUGUUAGUGGAGUAUGAUGCUUUCUGAUGAGUAGGAGGGUGACAUCAGUAUAUAUUUUAUUUUGGACUAAUUUUUUUUUUUGCAUUUAGUUACCACAGUGAUAUUCUGAUUUCUGAAAAAGAAAGCAAUGAGAAUUUUUUUUUACUAACAAACAUAGUUAAUAGAGUCCAUCCAAAUUUAUUCUAGUGCAUUUUGAUAAUAUUUGUCAACCUAUAUUGUAAUUCUUCAAGAAGUAGACUCAGCAUGAUAAUUGUGCAUCUGUGGUUAAUUAGCUCAGUUGGUUGACUCAUGGAGCUAAUGAGGCCAAAGCCUGGGUUUGUUCCCUGUGUGGGCCAAUGAGUUUUGCUCUUUUGCUGGGUCACAGACUACAGUUCAAACACAGGCCAACUAUCUCAUAACUGCAUGCCACUGACCAUAAGGAAACUGGGCCAAGAGAAAGGAAAUUCAACAGCAAGCCUGGAAAUAGAUCUUUAACUCUACACAGUAUCUAUUUGUUAAUGAUGUGUCAGAAAUGUUCAUGUAUGAAGAAAGCAUUAUCUAUGCACUCAGUAUGCUGUGAACAACACAUAGAAAAUGUCCUGUGGCCUCAAAUGACACACUGAGAAUUAAAUAUUUGUAAUCACAAAUUGAAUCUAUUUCAAAUUACAAGGCAAGCAAAAUGCCUGUUUUUCACAUUUUCACAUUUUGAUUUUUUUGCAAGAUUUUGUUUGUUUGUUUGUUUAUUAAUUUAUUUUUUAGUACCAGGUAUUGAACCCACUGGUGUUUAACCACUGAGCAACAUUCUAGCCAUUUGCAUUUUUUUAUUUUGAGACAGGAUUUUUGUAAGUUGCCUAGGGCCUCACUAAAUUGCCAAGGCUGGCUUUGAACUUGGUGAUCUUCUCUGCCUCAGCCUCUCAAGCCUCUGGGAUUACAGGUGUGUGCCACCAUGCCUCACUAUGUCCAGCAGAUUGCAAGUGCCUUUAAGGAGUCUGAUUAGCACCCUACAGCCUACUGUGAGUUCUGAAUCAACUAUGAAAUAAGACAAAGGAAGGGGAGGAGAAAGCAGAUGGAAGGUCAAAAUAUCAAAUUUGUGUCAGAUAAAAACUAGAUCAUGUGGCAUAGCUUAGACCCACAGAUAAAUGAGAUUCUUUAUCACUAACCUCAAAAUUUUACCCACCCUUUCAGACUAAGAGAACACAGUCUCUCCAAAUGGGACCGACUUCAUUUUGCUUUCUGAUAAUUAUUUUGUAGGGAAGUCAUACCCCAAGAAAAAUAAAAAGGGGAAGAAUUAAAUGGCCAAUGUAAGACAAAAAGGAAAAAACAAAAACAAAAAGUAUGACUUACUGUAUAGGUGCAUUAUGGUAAAUAAUUGUAAAUUUAUUGAUAAUCAAUGUAGUUACAUAGUGUAGUGGUUUUUCCCAGUGGUUCCCUAAAUUUUUAAGUGUGGAUGGUUCCCAUGGUAUCUGCCAUAUUGUAAUCAUAAAUACCAUGAUCAUAAAGAAAUGUUUUGCUUGGAAAUAUCUACAUACAUAAUGGAAAGGCCAAUUGAAAAUACACAUAUUUGCAGAAGUAAUUCAUUUUAUUUAUUCAUUAUCAUUAAUGAUAAACUGAACUAUGUAACAUUAGUCUAAUAAGAUAUUUUAUUUCUUAAAAAAAAUGUUCUGUGGUCAAGUAUGUCUUUUAAACUCUGUGUGAAUCUCUUUGGGGAUUCACAAUUCACUUCAACUCUUCAAUGUUUGACUUUAUCACAGAGUUUCCCAUAAGUGGAUAGGGAAUCCCAUAUAACUGCAGUCUAACAAAUUUAAGUUUAGGAAACACUCAUCAAAACCAUAGUGUGAUCAAGUUAUUUGUAUUAAGGCUUUAGAGUAGUGUAUUACUAAUGAAGAAGAGAGAAUUUAUUCUUAAAUUAUGUUUUCUUAAAAAAAACUAUCAAUAAAUGGUAUUUCAAGUGGAAAUACUGUUUUAUUUGUUUAGACCUAUCAGAAGCAGUUUGGUAUUUUUCUAUUUAUUAUAAGCUAUAAAGAAAAAAAUUGUGAAUAUGUUUUCAUUGCUACAAUUAUAACUUUGAACAUGAAUGACUACAACUAUAUUAGUAAUUUUUUACAAUGCUUUUUUACAUAUAUUUAUUUAUAUGUGUCUUUAAAAGCAAAUCCCACAUUUGACAAUUUCUUUCAGAAUGUUAUUUUAGUCAAUGAAGAUAUUAUUCGGUUUAAAUUUUAUUGUAAAACUAUAAUGCUUUGCAAGCAGAAGAGCUGUCUUGGAAAAUUAACUGGUUUAUGGAAGUGAGAACAGCUAAGUAUUCAGGGAUCUGACUAAUAAUUAUACAGUAUGACUUUUGUUGCCAGGCAUUCUUUAAAGUACUGGUGACAUAACAGCUAUCCUUGCCUUCAUGGAGUUAACACUCUGAUGCAAGAAGCUAACUCCUCCUUCACUUCUAAAAUAUUUUGGUUAAAUAUUCAUCCAAAUAUAAAUAAAUAAAAUGCUUACCAGUAUGGGAUUCUGAUCCCCCAAAUAGUUUUUGUCCAGCAAAUAAUAUAGACAGAAAGAUUUAGUUGGUUGAAAACAUGUGUUUAUUCUUUUUAAAGCAAAGGAAUAUGUUAUGUCAGUACAAAACCACCAUUAACAUAGUUUAGAACCUAUAGAAAUCUCUCCUUAUGAAAAUAAGUUAUGAAAUAUUACUGUUUGGGUCCUUUGCCAAUGUGAUUUUCUCCAGGUCUUCUGCCCCAUAUUAAGAAAGUUUCUAAUAAUUAAUUUUGUCUUAGUUACCUUUCUUAUUUAAUUUGCCUGAAUUAUAUGACUGAAUAUAACUGAAUUUCAAUUAUUAAAACAAUAGACUAAAUUAAAUUUAUUUCAUAGUUUGAGCCCUAAAAUUCCUAUACUUGUCAUAAUACUUUAACACACAUGGCAUUUUAUCUAAAUAUGAGGUUUCAUGAUCACCAGCAAGUGCAAGAAUAUAUUUUAUCUAAACUCCAUAUGUCUUCAGUCAUCUUGAAUUAAUACAGAUUCGAACAGAGUGGUUAUUCCCCUAGGAAAGAAAAAUGCUCUGAUAAUUACCCCAGAUUCACAAUUUUCCAUUAAAAUACUAAGUUGCAAUUACUAUUUAAAUAAAUGCAGUGCAGUCUUAUAGGAUAAAUUGUAUGUUUUCUUUUGGCUUUCCUAGGCUUCUAAUUUGCCUUAAAUGAUAUUGUGUUGCAGAUUAACUAAAAUGUUUUUUACAAAGGAAAUAUCAGAAAACACUGUAUAUGUUAAAUAAAUAAAUUUUUAUUUAAUCAAGUUAAAGUGGAAAUUUUGUUUGAAAAUCUUUAAGAAUCCUGCAUGUUACUUGUGGUUUACAAAAAAGCAAAAACAAACCCCAAAACAACUGAGUUUGUAUACAGAUAUUGAUUAAAUUUAUAUCUCUGCCCCAAUUUUCCAUUUAAAAUAGAUAAACGGUUGGAGCUGAGUGAAAUCUGAGAGUCACAUAUAUCUAAGUUAAUGUAAUUCCUCUUUAAAAAUACAUGCAGCCUCAUUAUUUUUUUAUAGAUUCAAUUUGAUCUUUGGAGAAAUUAUGAACAAAAGUGAUUUGACUACAUUUGAAAGGAAUAAAAUUUCAUUUGGAAAGUUCAGAAUUAUAUAGGAAUAUCUACAAGUAAUACUUUUUAAAAGUGGUCCUUUUUGAGGAAAAUGAUCACAAAGAACAUUUUUUGGUAGGUCUAUUAAUGAUGUUGAUGGAAUUUAAUUCACCCUGAAUUCUUACUGAAUGAUUUCCCAGAACUUAUCACACAGCAGAACUCCAAGCAUUCUUCUUGUUCUUCCAUGUAAAAGACAUAUUUAGUCCACAUAAUCAAGCUUUCACCAAACUCAAAAUUAUUUACAAAUUUUCAGUGAAUUUUAUCCUUCCUGCCAAAAAAUGUACAGUGUGUUUGAAACUAGACUAGCAAUAUUUGGUACAAUUUUUCAGGAAAAAAAAAGUAUUUUGUGUGCAUCCUCCUCUUCCUCCUACCUUCAGGAUGCAGCUGGGUAGGAGGGUGAGUGAAAAAGGUUGUGGAGAAAGAGAAAUGGAAUAGACAGGAAGGGAAAAAAAUGCAACAAGCAGAUGUUCUUUUUCUAAAAAUCAGCAUGAAGAUGCUUAGUGAACAAACCUAGCUCUUGGAUAGGAAUCAAAUGAACUGGGUUCCUCAGUUUUGUAUCAAGGAUAUACUCCUUAAGUAUUUUAAUCACUCUGACCUUCAGUUUAUUACUCCGUAGAAGAGAAUAACAGCACCUGCCUUGCUUAAUGUUUAAAGAUGUUUAAUGGCAUAAUAUAUAUAAAAUAUAGCAUGAUAUAAACCUACCAUAAUGGCAGCAUCAUUGACCUUUAUAUAGAAUGCUUCUGGGAAAUUUUGCUAUAUAGCAUUUUGUUAAUAAAUAUUUUCAAUUGUGUGUAAAGCUCUGAGGCUUAAAAAAAGACUCUAAUAGCUCACAUUAUUUAAUUCUUGCUGUGUACUAGACAUGUUCUAUUCCCUUUGGGCAAAUUUAUUUAUUUAAUCUUUUCAACAACCCAAUGAGGUAAUUAUUGCCUUUGUUCCUAUUGAAAGGAGAGGAAAGUGCAUACAGGUGGAUUAAAUGAUUUAUCCAGGGUUACAACACAGAAAGGUCCUCGGGUUAACUGGUCCUACCCUCAGUCUCAACUGCACAAUCUUUUCUAUAGGAUCCCUCCAUACAGUUUUCCAGCCUCUGUUAAAAUUUAUCUCAGUAAAUGAGCCAGGGCCUUAUGACAUAAAGAUUGUGUGUGUGUGUGUGUUUUAUAAUUUUUUGGUCUGAAUUUUUUCAUUUUUAACUUGUGCAUAAUAAUUAUAUAAAAUAGUUAGAUUUUUAGUGUGGCAUGUUCAUACCUGUGCACAACAUAAUUUUAUCAAUUUAAUUCCCUACUACCUUCCCUCUUCCCUCCUGCUCAUUUUUUUCCUUACUUAUCUCUUUUCUAUUUUCAUGAGAUCCUUUUUUUUUUCAUUUUCUCUAGUUUCCACAUAUUAGGGAAAACUUAAAACCCUUUGAUUUUCUGAGUUUAGCUUGUUUCAAUUAACACCAUGCUCUCCAGUUACAUCCAUUUUCUUGCAAAUGAUGUAAUUUUAUCUUCUUUAUGGCUAAAUAAAACUUCAUGGUGCAUAUAUACAACUUUUUUUGACCCAUUCAUCUGUUGACAGACACCACGCCUGGUUCUAUAACUUGGCUACUCUGAAUUUUGCUGCUAUAAAUACAGGUAUGCAUGCAUUUCUACAGUAUGCUGACUUAAAUAAUUUGGGGUAAAUACCAAUGAGUGGUACAGUUGGAUAUUUCUUCACACCUUGAAAAUUUAUCUUCUAGUGGGCACAAUUUUCAGACUAAAAAAAACCUGCAGUUAAAUACAGUGAAUAUUAAUGUAUCGUUUGUAAACUAAAGAAAAUGCAAUUAAAUAGUCAACUCUGACCCCAACUCUGGCAGUAGUCAAAGAUAUGUUUGCUAAAACAAUUUUUAUUUUAAGUUGUUGGAUUAUUUUUUAAACCAAAGUAUAGACUCAACAUAUCUAGAUUUUAUUUUUAGUUUAGCUAACUAGCUUUCACUCUUCAGUAUACUAAAAUAACAAACAGAAAUAUAUUCUUUCCUUUUAAACUGAAUUAAAAUAUAAAAUGUUAUAAUUAUUUACUGUAAUCACACACACAUGCUUCUCUUCACAUCAUUUUACAUUCUCAAAUAAUAAGAAAAUAUAUUGUACUAACAAAUAGGGACUUUGUUCAUUAGAAAUUUAUUUCAACAACAUGGUGAAGGUGCAUAAUCUGCCUUGUAGUGUAUUUGAAUUAUAUGAUCAAAAAACAUUUGAUAAUGAUUUUGUUAAUGUAUAUGUGUUGUGCCUGAGAUUUUUAUUUUUAUUUCUAUAUUUUUCCAAAAGUGGGUUAUACUAUUCUAGAUACUACACUAAAAAUUUACUUCAUUGGAUGCCAUCUAAAUACUAUCACACUAGAAUGUCAGACAAAACCUUGCAAUAUAUAUCCCAAAGAGUAUGUGAUUUUUUAUAAUGCUCAAAAUGUAUAAUAAAUUUUGAAAUGUUGAGUUGUUCUUGAUUUUUAAAUGCCAGUCUCUCAAUGUACAUAAAUCAGUUCUAAGUUUUGUUUUCAUCCAUUCUUACCCAACCUUCUCUUUAUACAUGUUCUCAGUCAUGAAUACCACUUUAUAUCUUUAAAAGUUCAUAUGGCUUAACUGUCAUUAUGUAUUGGAAAAAAAUAUUUGGCUUUAUGUUAAAAAACUUUUUGACAUUUUACCAUUUCUUCCCAUCUUAAGCUUUUGGAAGACAAGGGAUUAUUUCUUGCAUAGCAAUUUGCACAUAUACAUUACUGAUUGUUCAUUAAAUAUUAUAGGAAUGAAGGCAACCUUGACACUAUUCUAAUUGCUUCAUUAUCUUUUUUUUCUAGGCUGCAUAAGAUUUAAAUCAGCAAAUGCAUAGUUGGCAAAGGCCCUGAUAGGAAACGGUUGACAUUCUAAUAGAAAUAAAGAAAGAAAACUAAAUGAAACCAGUGAAAUUAAAAAUAACGAUAAAGAAAUACAUUAUAUAAUGUGUCAUAUAAAAUGUAAAAAAGCAAAGAUUCUAACUUAGGGGUAAGCAAUCAAACUCUAUAUUUGAAACACUGUGUGGGCCUUCAAGGAAAGUUUAAGACAAGUCUGGGCAACUUUAUUAAGACCCUCAGCAACUUAGCAAGACUCUGUCUUUAAUUCAAAAAUGAAAAGGACUGAGAUGUAGCUCAGUAGUUGAGUGCCCUUGGGUUCACCAGUAUUGGGGUUAAAAAAAAAGAAAAAUAAAUACAAGUGCACACAGACAUCAUAGUGGGUUGUAGAAUUGAUUACUUCUGACUUUCCAGUUGGCAUUAAUUAACCAUUGUUUUUUGAUUCUUUAAGAUUUCUUAUAUUACUUAGACAUUGCCUAAUCACGUUCUGAUUUCAGAGAAAUAUUUAGUAAAUAAUCCAAUAGCUAAGAGGAAAUGUUAAAGAGCUAUCCUCAAAUUCAAAAGUUCAUGCCCAACUCUGUGGUGGAAUGAGACAUUCAUAUUCAUAGAUUCCAUAUUUACUGAUUCAACCAACCAUAGAUUGAAAAUUCUAAAAAGUAAAAAUUGCAUCUAUACUGAAUAGGUGCAGACUUUUUUCUUAUUACCCCAUGAACAAUGCAGUAUAACAACCAUUUGCAUAACGUUUGCAUUAUAUUAGGUAUUAUAAGUAGUCUAGGGAUGAUUUACAGUGCAUGAGAGAAUAUGUGUAGGUUAUAUGCAAAUACUACACCUUUUUGUAUAAGGCAUUUGCGCAUACAUAGAUUUUGGUAUUCCUGGGGAGAUCCUGAAACUAAUACCCCAAUUACUGCCUCAAACCUGAGAUAGGCUCUUGAAUUGAUUGACUUGACUGGCUCAUGCUCCACUUCCUCCCAAUGGACUUACCAUUUAUUUCAGGUGAUGCAUUUGACAAACUCAUGCAUAUAUUUGAUACCAAGUCAAGAAGGCCCUGAAGGUACUUUCCAUUAAGUGGAAUGGAAUGUCUUGUAUAUUUGUGGCUUUGUUACUUAGCUCAUAACAGAAACUUCCAUUUUGCCAAAUGGAGGUUCUUGUAGCCCUCAUUCUCUUUGAAAUCUGAGUUUACAUUAGGCAUAACUCUUAGGUUAAAAAAGAUGACAGACUUUCAAGACAGCUAUAUGUAGUAUGUGACCCUUACAUAGAAUAGGAACCAGUAAAUAAAAUAUUAUGCAUAGUUAACAUAAAUGCUAUUCUUAAACAAAUUUAAAUUAAUAAGGCAGCAUACAGUUUUACUUGUCUAUAACAUCUUUACUCAAAUUUGUUAAUUUUAAGCAUGAAAUGAUUUAUCUCUUCUAAAUCAAUGUAGCUCCAGGCUUUAUUUGGAAUCUCAUGGAAAGAGAGUAUAUGUGACAUACAUUUUUAAUGUAUUGGCUUCAUUUUUUAAAUUUUUAGAUCAAUUUAUUUCAGACCAUUAUUAUCUUGUUUAUAUGGUCUCAGGGUAUGAUCUCAUUACCCUUAAUUCUUAAACCAGCCAAAGCCCCAAAGAAUCUGCUGCUUACUUUAGGGCUGUCUGUAGGUCUGAGAAUGUCCAAAUACACUCAAGUAACAAAAGAGGCAUUCUAAAAAAUUACAGUAAAUACCUAUAUAUGGUAAUUUAUGUAUUAUGUUGCUUCUCUAGUUUGGAAAAGUAAAAUUGAAAUUUUCAAUUCCACAGUUACUGCAAAAGUAUUGAUUAAAACCCUAAGCCACUUAAAACAUUUAUGUUACCAUUCUUUUCCUCAGUGCAUGAUGGAAAAUGUUAUACUAGCAAGAUCAUACUUGUAUGACUAUCUUCAUGAUCAUAAUAGUUGGAUAACAGAAACUAAUUUUAAACUUAACAACCAAAUUGAUUCACAUAAAUUGCUUAGCACCAUAUCUAUACUUCAGGGGUGCUCUGAAAUAUUAUUUUUGUUGUAUUCAUAUCUAUAUUCUAAAUAUUUUUUAGUAUGAAUUUUAAGUGUACAGAUUAACUCACGUGAAGAAUGACAAAACCUUAUUCUACAGUUGAUAUUUUAGGAAGUUGCAUUUAUUUAAAAUUUCUCAUUCCAAUUUUAGUGUUUAUAUCAGCUCCCAUCUGAUUAAAAAAGGUGCUGGUCAUAAUAUCUUAAUGAGUGUUGGUGUUGAAUUGAUCAUUGGAGUAAAAAAAAAUCUAGCAAUUUAAUUUUUUAUAGUAUAAAAAUAAUCAAAGAAAUGGAGUUGUUCUCUCUCAUUUCACUUUUUAAAAGAAAUCCCAGUAAAUAUUUUCUGAAGACUCAAAAGUGGUCUUUAUUAUAUGAUUUUAAAUGCCAGUUAUGUCUUUAAGCAUUAUAAAAGGAAACCAUUAUGUUUCACAAAAAUAACAAUUCCUUUAGAAGCCCACCUUUUAUCCACAGGACCUUAGUGAAGAACUAUGACUUCAAAAAUAUUAUCUCUUACUAUUCUUAUCCUUACGUCUAGGUUUUGCUUUUAAAUUUCUCUUUGUGCUGGAAUCGUUGUAUUUUUUCCUGAUUUGCUUUAAUUUUCAUCUCCAUAUUAUUGCUUCAGCUGAUUUUUUUUUCUUGCUUUCCAUACUAACUCUCUCCCUCCAGCCACCAUAUGCAAGCAUCUUCUACAACCAUGACACAACACAAUUUCUUAUACUCUUUUUUUUUUUUUUAUUCUGGUCUGAAUAUUUCUGAAUCUUUCAACUGGUUCACCUCAUGUAAUUUGCUCUUUUAAUGAUUUUUAAGGCGUGUAGAAUCAAAGAAGCCCUGAAAAAUAAAUAGUAUUUCUCACUAAAAUUAUGAAGAAAUUUAAAUAAUAGAUGAUCUUGGGGAGAUGACUUUAUCUGAUUUUCUAGUUUAUCACCAGCUCCACAUUUUAACAAUAAAAAUUCUGUUUAACCCAUAAACGGUAUUGAUAAAGAAGAACAUUAAGGGGAAAUUUAUAAUUGGGAGCAGUUAACAAUUUUGGAAAUGGAGAUGGUUAAGAAGAACAUAAAAAAGAAGCAAAACUGAAUGAUGGGACAAUAAAAGAUUCCAAGAAGUAAUUUAGCUCAGAAGUCAGUAAACUACACUUCAUGGGUCAAAUCUAUGACCUGUUUUUUGGAGAGUUACAAAGAAUGGGUUUUAUACUGAUGUAUGUUUGAAAAAAAAAAUUAAGAACAUAUUUUGUAAUGUGAAAAUUGAUGAAAUUUUGUUGUCCAUAAAUAAAGUUUUAUUGGAACUAUGCCAUACUCUUUCAUUUACAUAUUUUCUUUGAUGGUUUUUAUAUUGCAGCAGCAGAGUUGAGCAGUUGGGACACAGCCCAUAUGACAUAUAGCAUGUGAGACAUUUAUUAUGUAGCCAUUGGGGAAUGUUUCUAUUUCCUCAUUUAGAACACUCCCUAACCUGGUUUUCCUAGCUGAUCAAAUCAUAGUUUAUUAACGACUACUCUGCAACUUCAGACCAAAUAAACUAGCAGGCACCUUCCAGUUUUUCCAUUUGAGGUUUUCUUUAUAGUAAAACAAGCAGUUGCAAAUAACCAAUAAAAACAGUGACCUUGGUCUAUUUGUUACUUUACAAAACUAGACUGUUUAGUCUGAGAUAGCUAUAGCUAUAGACCCAUACACAAUUGUAAGAAAUGAAACAGAGAACUGGGGAUGUGGCUGAAGCGGUAGCACGCUCGCCUGGCAUGCGUGCGGCCCGGGUUCGAUCCUCAGCACCACAUGCAAACAAAGAUGUUGUGUCCACCUAAAACUAAAAAAUAAAUAUUAAAAUUCUCUCUCUCUCUCUCUCUUAAAAAAAGAAAUGAAACAGAGAGGUAUGAUGUAUUCUUUAACCAACUUUUCUCAAUGGCAAUAUCUUGAAAACUAUAGUACAAUAUUACAAUAGAAAUAUUAACAUCCAUAUGGUUAAGACACAGAGUAUUUCCAUCACUAUAAGGAUUGUUGCUUUUUUAUAGUCAUACCUACUUUUCUCUCACUCCCACCCUGACCUUAACCCCUGAACAGUUUACCUGUUUUCCAUUUUUAUAAUUUUGUCAUUUCUAAAAUGGCAAAAUGGAAUUAUAUUGGAUACCUUUGGGGAUUGGCUCUUUUCAUCCAAAAUAAUUAUCCUGAAAUAAUUCUGACUAGUAAGUGUAUCAAUAGUUUGUUCCUUGUUAUAGCUAAGUAGUCUGAAUGGAUGUACCACAAUUUGUUUAAACACUCAUUAGAAGACAUCUGUGCAUUUUUGAGUUUGGAGUUAUUUUGGGAAAAAAAAUUAUAAUUGUUCAGAAUUCUGCAUGAAUAUAAAUAGUCAUUUCUUUUGGAUAAAUACCCACAAGUCAAAUUUCUGCUUCAGAAUAUGAACUGGAAGUUAUAUCCUUGUCUUUUAUUUUCUUAGAAACAUUGUACAGCAUUGUUGUUAAGCUUUUAAAUAUGUGUUAGAAUUAUCCAGUGAAACAAUUUGGCCUCUAGAUUUCUUUUUGAGGAAGUUAAAGUACAGAUUCAACUUCUUCGCAGUUAUAGGACUACUCAAAUGAUCUAUUUCAUAGUGGAUAAGUUUCUGUACUAUAUUGGGUCAUUUCUUUAUUAUUAUUUUAUUUUUGAAGAUUUGAUCCAUUUCAACUAAGAUAUUCAAUUUAUACCUAGGAUAGCUUGUAAUUUUCACAUAUUAUUUUUUGAUACCUGGCUGGGCACAGUGGCACAUGCCUGUAAUCCCAGAAGCUUUGGAGGCUGAGGCAGGAGGAUUACAAGUUGAAGACUAGCUUCAGCAACUUAGGGAGGCCCUAAUCAACUUUAUGGGGCUCUGUCUCAAAAUAAAAAAUAAAAUGUGGGGAUGUAGGUCAAUAGUAAAAUACUCUUGGGUUCAACACUCAGUACCACACACAAAAAAGCAAACAAUAUAAUAUUAUUUGUAGGGACUCUAGUGACAUCCUCUAUUUCAUGUCUAAUAGUAAUAAUUUGGAUUUCCUCUUUUUUUGCCAGUCUUGUCUUGCUGUAGGUUUAUCAAUUUUAUUAAUCUUUCCAGAGAAUCAAAUCCUUGUUUUACUGAUUUUUUUCUAUUUUUUUUUUGUUUGUUUUCAACUUCAAUUGUUUGUGCACUUAUUCCCUUUCUUCUCUUAUCUAUGUUAGAUUUAUCUUGCUUAUAUUGUUAUUGGCUUUUGAUAUUGGAGUUUUGAUUAUGGGUUUAAGAUUUUCACUCUUUUUUAAUGUGUGUAUAUAGUACUAGUAAUUUCCCUCUGAGCACUGCUGUAGCUGUCUCCCACUUUCUUUUUUAAAUUGCAUUUUCAUUUUCAGCCUUUCCAAUGUAUUUAUUUUUCAUUUGAGACCUCCUCUUAGACCUAUGGGUUUUUUUGAUGUGUUGAAUCAUUUCUAAGUGUUUGAAGAUUUUCCUAGUACCUUUUUGUAUUUGAUUUUUUGUUAAUUGCACUGUAGUAAGUAAACACCCUUUGUGUGAUUUCAAUUAUUUUUAAUUUGUUGAGACUUGCCUUACGUGCCAGGAUAGGGUUUAUAUUGAAAUAUGUUUCUGGCACUUGAAAACAAUGUGCAAUCCAUUAUUGCUUCGUGGUACAUUUUAUAAAUGUCAGUCAGACCCUAUUGGUUGAUGAUUUGUUGAGUUCUACACCUUAUUAUUUUUCUGUUAUUUUUUUCCUGUCACUUGUUGGUAAAUGUAUACAACUCUCAUUAUGAACUUUUUUCCUUCUUUGUUUCAGUAGUUUUUACUCUAUGCACUUUGAAGCUAUUUUGUUUGGUGCUUAUACAGACAGGGUUGUUGUGUCUUUUGCUUUGUAUUGUUCCAUUUGUCAUUAUAUGACAUAUCUAUUCCUGGUUUUAUUUCUUUCAAUGUUUAUUUUACUUGAUAUUAAUACAAGCACCCCUUAUUUCUUUGGUUGUUAUGUAUUUUUCCCAUCCUUUCAUUUUCAAUCUAUAUAUAUUGUUAUAUUUGAGUUCAUUGUAGAGAGCAUAUAAUUGGGCCAUGUGCUUUAAUUCACUGUGUAAAUGUCUGCUGUUUAAUUAGUAAUAAUAAUAUAAUGCAUAUUAUUCAUACAAUUUGCAUUUAUUCAAAAUUUUUUUUUGUUUUAAUUCACCUUUUUUUCCCAUUUAUUCUCUUUGUUUUUAUUGUUCUAAUUUCUCUCUCCUGCUGAUUUCUCUCUCUCUCCUGACAAUGUGUUGGAAUUUUAAGAACUUUUAUAUAAAUAAUAUUUUCAGUGUAUUUCUUUUUUUAAAUUUAGUUGAUUUAUUUCUCUAAUUUGUUAUACAUGACAGCAUAAUACAUAUAGAGAGUACAAUUUUUCAUGUCUCUAUUUAUUCACAGAGUCAUACCAUUCAUGUAUUUAUACAUGAACUUAGGGUAAUGAUGUCCAUCUCAUUCUAUCAUCUUUCCUGUCGGCAUGCUCCCUCCCUUCCCCUUCCUCCCCUUUUCCCUAUAUAAAGUUCCUCCAUUCCUCCCAUGCUCUACCCCUGCAUCCCCAUUAUGGAUGAGCAUCCUCAUAUCUGAGAAAACAUUCAGCCUUUGGUUUUUGGAAUUGGCUUACUUCACUUAGCAUUCUCCAACUCCAUCCAUUUACCUGCAAGAGUCAUGAUUUUAUUCUCUUUUAAUGCUGAGUAAUAUUCCAUUGUGUAUAUAUACUACAUUUUCUUUAUCCAUUCAUCUACUGAAGGGCAUCUAGGUUGUUUCCACAAUUUAGCUAUUAUGAAUUGUGCUGCUAUAAACAUUGAUGUGGUUGUGUAGUAUGCUGUUUUUAAGUCCUUUGGGUAUAGACCAAGGAGUGGGAUAGCUGGGUCAAAUGAUGGUUCCAUUCCAAGUUUUCCAAGGAAUCUCCAUACUGCUUUCCAUAUUUGUUGCACCAAUUUGCAGUCCCACCAGCAAGGUAUGAAUGUGCCUUUCUCCCCACAUCUUCGCCAACACUUAUUGUUGUUUGUAUUCUUAAUAGCUGCCAUUCUGACUGGAGUGAGACAAAAUCUUAGAAUAGUUUUGAUUUGCAAUUCUCUAAUUGCUAGAGAUGUUGAACAUUUUUUCAUAUGUUUGUUGAUUGCAUAACAUCUUCUGAGAAGUGUCUGUUCAGUUCUUUGGCCCAUUUAUUGAUUGGGUUGUUUGGAUUUUUAUUUGGUGUUAAGUUUUUUAAGCUCUCUCUCUCUCUCUCUCUCUCUCUCUCUCUCUAUAUAUAUAUAUAUAUAUAUAUAUAUAUAUAUAUAUCCUAGAGAUUAGUGCACUAUCCGAUGUUCAUGUAGUAAAAAUUUGCACCCAUUCUGGAUGCUCUCUGUGCACCUGGUUCUUUUGCCGAGAAGAAGCUCUUCAAUUUGAAUCCAUCCCAUUUAUUGAUUCUUGAUUUAAUUUUUUGCAUUAUAAGAGUCUUCUUAAGGAAAUCAAGGCCUAACCCAACAUGUUAUUAGUGAUUGUUUUAUGCUUUACAUUACAUAAAUUACAACUUUGAUAGUCAUCCUAUGUCUUCAUUUUGCCAAUUUUAUUAAAGUACUUAACUUCAAUUUUUGUAUCUUUACUCAUCUAUUUAUAAUAUAAUUGUCUUAAAUAUUUUCUAUGUAUAUGUUUAGGCCCACAUCAGAUAGUGCUACAUUUUUUUGUUUCUACCAUCAAACAUGAUUUAGAAAAUUUCAGAGAAGGAAAAUUUCUUAUAUUUAUCCAUAUAUGUGGUUAUGGAAUUCUUUCUUCCUUUGUAAAGUUCCAAGUUUCCUUCUGCUAUCAAUUGUGUUGACAACUCCCUAGUCAUUCUUUUAGGGUAGGUUUGCUGGAGAAAAAUUCUGUUAGUUUUUUUGAACUAAAAAUGUCCUGAUUUCUUUAUCACUUCUAAAGUAUCUUAUCCAUGGAUAUAAGAUUCUGGGUUGACAGUUUUUUCUUUCACCAUGUGAAAGUGUUGUGCCUCUUUAUUUUGGCCUGUGUGGUUUCCUAUAAAAAACCCACUGUCACACUUAUUUUUCCACAUUAGGUAAGGUUGUAUUAUCUUCUUACUCCUUUCAAGAUAUUUUUUUUUGUCUUUAAUUUAAAUACAUUUGAUUGUCAUUGGUUUUGGUGUAGAUUUCAUUGGAUUUGCAUUUGCAUAGGUUCUCGAAUAUAUAUGUCUUUUGCUAAAUUUAGGAAUUUUCCAGCAGUUAUUUCUUUAGGCAUUUUAAAAGACCAUUCCAUUUCUCCUUUCGUUUUGGAAGUAAUAAUGACACAAAUGUUUGAUCUUUUAUUAUAGUCCCACAGUUAAUUAUGUCUGUUUACCUUUUUUUUAAGUAUAUUUGUUUCUGUACCAGAUUGGGUCAUUUAUUUAGUUUUAUCUUCUAACUCUUUGCUGUCUUUCCUUUUCAGUUGAGUACAUCCAUUCAAUUUUAAAAUAUUAAUUUUUGUAAUUUUUUGAUGUAAAAUUUCUAUCUGAUUAUUCUUUUUAUCAUUUAUUCCUUUGCUAAUAUUUUUAAAGGUUUUACUUCAACCAUAUCCAUAGUUGCUCAUUAAGACAUUUUCAUAAUGAGAUGGAUGCUUUAAAAUCUUUGUGAGAUAAUACUAAUAGCUCUAUUAUCUUGGUGUUUGUAUUACUUGUCUUUUUAAAAAAUUCAGUUUGAGAUCUUCCUGGUUAUUUUUUGCAUCAAAAAUAAUUUCUAAUUGAAAUCUGGACAUUGUGGGUAUUAUGUAUGAGACUUUCAUUCUUAUUUAAAUCUUCUGUUGUACCUGGAUUCCUUUCAUUUCACUCCAGCAGAGGAGGGGGGUGGGGGAUAGGCCACUUCAUCAUUGCCAGAAGUAAAACAAGCCUAGGGUUUCUCUGAUUGGCCCCCACUGACACUGAAAUGCAAGAGUUCCUAGUCACUCCUAGAUGAGGGUGACAGUUUCUGUUCCUGGAUAGUUCUCCACUGACACCUCCCUGACUGGAAGUACUUUGUUAACUUCCUUUGUAGGAGUGGCUACUAUGGUAGCCUCCAUGAACUUCCGGUGCCCAGGAAUAGAGGGGUAGCCUUGUUAUUGCUGGACAGUUUCUAACAUGGUGAUUCUCUACAAGUCAUCCUCUAAUAUCACUUCAGUAGGGAGGCGGGUCUAGAGAGGAGUCUCUUUAUUUUUGAGUUGGGAGUGGGGCCCAGGCUCCUCUUGUAGGCUUUACUGACAGUGCAUGAAAAGGAAGGGAACUUGUUGUUUUAACACUCCACACCCCUGCAAUGGGGAUAAAUGUCCUUGCUCCCUACUUGGAUUUAGGCCAUACCAUGUCUGAGUGGGGAAGGUGUGGAUUUGGGUCACCUAGUUUUAGCUCAACAAGAGUCAGCCUCAAGGCUCCCUGCUUGACAUUUUCAGGUGUGAGUUGAAAUGGGCCCACAGUUCCUUGUGUGGUAUUGGAUUAGAAGUUUCUGUCUUUGUAGGAUGCCCCUUUCUUGGUCCCUUGACUAAAAAGAACAGGCUUUUGUUGGAAUUUUAGUUUAUUAUUUAUUUUUUUCUAUAACAUUUGGCAUUUCUGGGUUGUAGCCUUUUUCAGCUUGAAGUGUAGGAUAUCUAUGGCAAAAGAAAAUUGAAAUAAAUUACCACCAAGCUAUUUCUUGGGUCAUGCAACCCCAUAGCUUGUUUAUCAACUUCUCUUUAUCUUUCAGUGUUUUCCUUGUAUUUAUUCAUAUCUAAUAUCCAGGGAUUUUAGUUGAACCUAGUGGGAGGAUUAUGAAAAUCUUAUGUGUAUUACAUCUUCUUGUUUCUUUUUAAUUCAUUUUUUAAUUAGGAGAGAAUCAUACAAUAUUCACUAAUUAAUGAAUUUUGUAUUAAAAAGUAAAAACUUUGAACAGAAAAAUUCUCCAUCUGUAAUUUAUAUUUUAAUAUCCAUUUAACUUCUUUGUUCCAAUUUCUACCAGUUUGUUUCUUGAGGAGUUUAUCUCCAAUAAAUAUUCUUUCAUGACCUAUAACACUUUGAUUUAGCUUUUCUCACUUGAAAGAGAACUGAGGGACAUGGCAUACAAAAGACCAUAAAUUAUUUUUAGAAAUAUUUUUUCUAGAUCUCAGAAAACUUCAUAUUAUUUGCUUUUAUUGGGCAUGUCAUGGUUUGAUUAUCUUUUUAAACUUUGUCAUGUAUUGUUUAAUGUAUGUUUGUAUAUAUGAGGAAAGGUAAUUCCUCAUUAAUUCAUCACUUUGGAAAGGCACUGAAUAUACUUUUAAAUUUUUCUGAAAAGCCAUUUAUCCUUCUGAAAAAAAAAUUCAUCAAUUAUCACAAAAACAUUUUUUAAUAGAGUAGAAUAUGGUUCUUUGUAGAACUCUUCAGUGUAUUUGGCUUAAAUAUUAAUAAUACUCGCUUUCCUUCUUGGCUUUAUAUUCUGCUUAAUGAAAUUGUGAAAGAUUUAAUUCACUCCACUUUUGUUAGAAAGUGUGGAAAUGUUUGUACAUGGGAACUUUCAUUGCAUGCUGGAAUGGAAACUCACUGGGGAGGGGGAACCAUUUCAUUUUAUUGCCUAAGAGCUGUUGGUAUACUCCCUGCAUCUUUCAAAGGCAUCUUUCAUGCCACACAGGCAAACUGUAGCCAGUGAAGAAACAGAAAGAACACUUCUCGCAUGUGUCAACCUCAGCAAACUUGCACAGCAGCUGUGCUAGGUACUGAUGAGGAUUACCAGGACCCAGGGUUUUGUGUGGUUGAAGAGACAACUGGCCCUCUCCGGGGACCACUUUGUUGUAGACUGCAGCAAUAAUGCAUACCCACUGUUGCUAGUGGAUAUUGGUGGCCAUGUAGUGCAAAAGCAGUGCUAGAUAAAAUCAAAAAGUAAUAAGAAGCAAGAAGACAACUCAAGGAAUUUUUUUUUAAUCUUAAAGUGAGAGACUAAAACAAACAUUCCAGGCUUUGCAUUCACUUGUGAGGAAAAGGAGACAGAAGAAGGGAUGCCUUUAACACAGAAAACUUGCGGGGCAUUCCCGUCUUUUUAUUUGAGAACCAUUUGGGUGUGUGAAGAAAUAAAGUUGCAGAAUAGGCAUGUUCAGACCUUUAUUUGCUACUUUUGGUAGGAAAGAUUUUUCCCCCCUCUUAACUACAAGAAGCCAGGAUUUUCUGUGCAAACGAAACAGGCGUUGCAAGAAUCAGAUUCACUUUGGACGACUCUUCACAUUCCAAGUCAUCAUUGCAUUAGGCAGCACAAUUCCAUCUCUGGUUGAUGGGCAGAAAAAGUGGGCAGCUUGCCAGGUAGACGUUUCCAUGACUCCCAGCCCCCAAAGGUGAUGCGUUUUUCAGCUAAUUCAAUGAAGAGUGGGCUGAACUUUGGGUCUAAAGGAGACAAUAGCUGCCUUCGCAGUAUCAGCAGAAUGGUUGAUGGGAAUGCACUCUACAUUUGGCAGAGAAUCAUGUGACCUUACGACUGAGAUUUUGUGAUGGUGCCAACGGAGACUUGGAAAGCAGCAACGGUCCUGACUUUUUUCUUCUUUUCUAGCAUGGCUCAGAAAAUGGUGGAUCUUAAUACUUGACUUUAGCCAGACUCAGCAAGCAACUGAGCUUUGAAGCACAACUUCGCCUUUAUUCUGGGUUUUUGGCAGGCCACCAGGAGGCUGUCCCUUUCACGCCUGAUAAAUUCUGCUGCUUAUCUCUAAAAAGAGAGAGAAGGGAGGAAAAAAACAAAAACAAAAAAGAAAAAUAAUAACAGAAUAUUGAGGCAUAACAAGUGAAUUCUAAAAUUUUGUGUGCUUUUUGUUUUUUUUGUCUUUUCCCUGCUGAUUUUUUUUUUAUGUUAAUACCCUUUCUGCUUGCUGAGGAAUCCAAGUAGUUGGGUUAUUUAUUUAUUUAUUUUUUUGGUUUAUAAUGAACAGGCAUUUGAACUGGGCAAACAGGACGACAGCAGCAGUGAGCAUGAGAUCAUUGCAGCCGUGUAGCAAACUGGCAUCCUGCCUUUUCACCCCUUUGGUUCGGGAGAGAAACGUGUACAGUCCUCAUUUCUAAAGUCAGCACAGCCCGGAAGGAUUCCUGGUCUCUCCCACCUUCUACCAUUCUGCUGCCAGUGACGGCAAGGAUUGGUGCAGCUUCUGCGCAGUGCUUUGUGCCUGGAAUACAGAGAAGGAAGAGAAAGAAGACAAGCACUCUCGUCCUUCUUUGCUAAGAAAUAACAGGAGCCCUGAAGAAAAAAAAAUUGUCUUACUUCAUGCAAGAGUUUUGAAAAAAAAUAUAUGAAAGACUCCUACUCAAAAAAACAAAAACAAAAACAAACAAAAAUCCAAACCAAAACAAAUCAAAAAAAAAAAAAAAAAAGCAAACAUUGGCUUGUAU
Molecule: long non-coding RNA, 39773 nt
Filed under: Marmota monax (woodchuck)
Lineage: Eukaryota; Metazoa; Chordata; Mammalia; Rodentia; Sciuridae
Source: RNAcentral